Molecule: ribosomal RNA, 776 nt
Filed under: uncultured Neocallimastigales
Lineage: Eukaryota; Fungi; Neocallimastigomycota; Neocallimastigomycetes; Neocallimastigales
Description: partial large subunit ribosomal RNA
Rfam family: Eukaryotic large subunit ribosomal RNA
Source: RNAcentral
GUAUGUGAUCGUCUCUCGCAUAUCAAUAAGCGGAGGAAAAGAAACUAACAAGGAUUCCCCUAGUAACGGCGAGUGAAGCGGGAAGAGCUCAAAUUUGAAAUCUUAAAGGGUUUCCCUUUACGAAUUGUAGUUUAAAGAAGUGUUUUCUGUUGAGGUUUUGGUAAAAGUUCUUUGGAAUAGGACAUCAUAGAGGGUGAGAAUCCCGUAUUUGACCUUUACUUUCAACUUUGUGAUACACUUUCAAAGAGUCGGAUUGUUUGGGAAUGCAGUCCAAAAUGGGUGGUAAAUUUCAUCUAAAGCUAAAUAUUGGCGAGAGACCGAUAGCGAACAAGUACCGUGAGGGAAAGAUGAAAAGAACUUUGAAAAGAGAGUUAAACAGUACGUGAAAUUGUCAAAAGGGAAGCGUUUGACACCAGUGUUGUUUUUCUGAAAAUCAAUUAAAGAACUGUUUAUGCUAAGCUGUUUAGACUUUAUCAGCUAAUCUGUUUAGUUUUGAGCUUUUCUUUAAUGCACUUUUCAGUUAACAAGUCAACAUCAAUUUCUUUUGCUGUAAAAAAGCUUGAGGAAGGUGGCUUGAGAUUCGUCUUAAGUGUUUAUAGCCUCUUGCCUAUGCAGUCGGAGAGAUUGAGGUCUGCAGCGUAGAUCCUUCGGGGCUAAAUGCAUUUGUGCUAAGUUAUAACAUUUUAUAGACAACUUGUUGACUAUGAUUUGUCUUGUAGCUUACUCGCUUAUGUUAUUUUACCUACGCUUAGGAUGUUGAGCGCAUGUCUCUCUCU